GCCGGAGUAGCUCAGUUGGUCAGAGCGCCAGUUUUGUAAACUGGAUGCCAGGGGUUCGAAUCCCCUCUCCGGCU
This 74-nucleotide transfer RNA is filed under the name uncultured Solirubrobacteraceae bacterium. RNAcentral describes it as "tRNA-Thr-TGT". It matches the Rfam family "tRNA". Rfam says of the family: Transfer RNA (tRNA) molecules are approximately 80 nucleotides in length. Their secondary structure includes four short double-helical elements and three loops (D, anti-codon, and T loops). The record is from RNAcentral. Lineage: Bacteria; Bacillati; Actinomycetota; Thermoleophilia; Solirubrobacterales; Solirubrobacteraceae.